CACCCCUUCUCGGCCUCUUGGCUAAGAUCAAUUUGUAGUACCUGUUCUUAUCAGCGUGAUAGCUGAUAUGGUCUCAAUAGAGACCUUAUCAAUUUCACAUAAAUUUUUGAUAGGGGAAAGGAUAAUUUGAAGCUUGCUUCUUAUAACCUUUCGCGCGUUGCCUUACCCUUGCACAAAAGGUUUGUACAGUGCACCCUUACA
This 201-nucleotide small nuclear RNA is filed under the name Plasmodium relictum. RNAcentral describes it as "U2 spliceosomal RNA". It matches the Rfam family "U2 spliceosomal RNA". Rfam says of the family: U2 is a small nuclear RNA (snRNA) component of the spliceosome (involved in pre-mRNA splicing). Complementary binding between U2 snRNA (in an area lying towards the 5' end but 3' to hairpin I) and the branchpoint sequence (BPS) of the intron results the bulging out of an unpaired adenosine, on the BPS, which initiates a nucleophilic attack at the intronic 5' splice site, thus starting the first of two transesterification reactions that mediate splicing. Lineage: Eukaryota; Apicomplexa; Aconoidasida; Haemosporida; Plasmodiidae. The record is from RNAcentral.